AACUUUUGACAACGGAUCACUUGGUUCCGGCAUCGAUGAAGAACGCAGCGAAAUGCGAUAACUAAUGUGAAUUGCAGAAUUCAGUGAAUCAUCGAGUCUUUGAACGCACAUUGCGCCCCCUGGUAUUCCGGGGGGCAUGCCUGUCCGAGCGUCAUUGCUGCCCUCAAGCACGGCUUGUGUGUUGGGCUCCGUCCCCCCGGGGACGGGCCCGAAAGGCAGCGGCGGCACCGAGUCCGGUCCUCGAGCGUAUGGGGCUUUGUCACCCGCUCUGUAGGCCCGGCCGGCGCCAGCCGACAACCCAUCAUCCUUUUCAGGUUGACCUCGGAUCAGGUAGGGAUACCCGCUGAACUUAAGCAUAUCAAUAAGCGGAGGCU
Molecule: unclassified non-coding RNA, 374 nt
Filed under: uncultured Penicillium
Lineage: Eukaryota; Fungi; Ascomycota; Eurotiomycetes; Eurotiales; Aspergillaceae
Description: sequence contains ITS2
Rfam family: 5.8S ribosomal RNA (bases 1-154)
Source: RNAcentral